This 5599-nucleotide long non-coding RNA is filed under the name Daucus carota (carrot). RNAcentral describes it as "long non-coding RNA (DCAR_LNC005390)". The record is from RNAcentral. Lineage: Eukaryota; Viridiplantae; Streptophyta; Magnoliopsida; Apiales; Apiaceae.
AAAAUGGCUUAUUCUGAUUGGUGGAGUUGAUGUGAAUGCAGGGAGGGCCAUUAUCAUUUAUUAUUCAUCCACCAAUCAAAAGGAGCUAUUUUUAUUGGAGUUAGGGACUAUUGUGUGCCCUUGGGCACACCAUAGAAAAUCUCUAUAAAUAAUUCUGAAAUUUUAUUUAGUUCUGACAUCGUUUUCAUAAGUCUUUUCCGUUUAUAGUCAGAUCACGGGACCACCCCAAGCUGUCAUUGUACACUAAUUCAUCCCUCUUUAUAUAUAGAGAUCCUCACACGACACAAUGAAACCCUCAACUACAAAUACACAGAGUCUGUUAAUACACUGCAUCAGGAGAAAUUCAUACAUGGCUACAUUAAAAUCUUCUUUGUUCUUGGUGGUUCCUUUGUUAAUAAGUCUAGUUUUAGCCAGUGCUGCAGAGGCUAGACAGCUUUCUCUCCAGUCUCUACAAACCAAAGAAUCUGCACUCUUUAUCUCCUCUGCUCCUGGCAAAUCGAGUCCAGAUACGAAGAUGGAUGCGGAUUCAAAGGAAGGAAACUCGAAACUUUUUAGGACACUGGGGAUGGUGUGCAGAUGUUGUGAUAGUGCAGGAGGAGACUGCAGAACCAAAUGGCUCGAACCAUGUCCGAAUCUCGAGUGUCGUCCGUGGAAACAAAUUCGAUCAUAAAUAUUAGUUGCAUAAGAUUUCAGUAUUUAGUUACGCGCUAGUCAUGUACAUAAAUCGAGCAAAAUUCUACAUACCAGAUACCAGCUUUACCUUUACAAUAGAUGAGAUUCUUAUGGAUGAAGCACAGAGUUCACACAUGCUUUAUUUUGCAAAUUUUAGUUCUCCGCUUCUUAUUUCCUUUUCUAAUGCAAUAUCGUGUUCUUGAUUCCUUGAAUCGAACCAAAACCCGGGACUAUAGAGCAUAGACCCUUGUUAUCGGAAUAACUUUUUUUUUACUCCCUCGGUUUUUUAACAUAUGACGUUUGACUUUUUGGUACACUGGGUAGUUAAAAAUAUUACUCCCUCCGUCUCAAUUUAUAGGUCCUUUUUAAAAUAAACAUUUAUUAAGAAAAAAAUUGGUAAGAUAGAAUCUUAUCUCAUGUUUCAUUAAUUAGUGCAUUGAUAAGUGAGAAUAUAGUUGAGUUUCAAAAAAAUCACAAUUAAUAUGUAGAUAAAUUUCUAUUGAAAGAAGAGAGGGACAAGUAUUUUGGGACAAUUAUUUUUUUGCAAAAUGGACCUAUAAAUUGAGACGGAGGGAGUAUUUUUGAAUUUUUUUUUCUAAAAAAGUAUUAUGUAAUCAAAAUUAUAAUUCACAAAAAAAUUAUUUAAAAAUAAUAAUUUUUACUAUCCGGUCAAUCCACCUAAAUAUACAUGCUAAAGUCAAAAGUGACAUAUAAAAAAAACAAAAGGAAUACUCUGAGGGAGUACUCGGCAGAAGAAAGUAAUUCUUUUGGUGAACUACUAAUUAUUAUAAAGAUUUCGGAACUAUAAACUUGUACUAUUCGAUGAAAAGAUCAAUCAAUACUGCACAGUAUAAUUCAGAUAACAAGAUUCCAAAAUUUUACUCCCUCCGUCUCAAUUUAUAUGUCCACUUUGGAAAAAAAAAUUGUCCCAAAAUACUUGUCCCUCUCUUUUUUCAAUACAAAUUUAUCUACAUAUUAAUUGUGAUUUUUUUGAAACUCAACAUCAUUCUCAUUUCUUAAUGGGCACACUCCAAAAGGAGAGACACACAAACACGCAAAAAAUUGGGUUUUAUUGAAGGAAAACUAACAAGAUUAAAAGAUAAUGAAGGGAUUGGGGCUUUCCACCGGAGAAAACCAGUGGAAGCCCCUCGAUUUACUUGAGCGUGGACAAACCUAACAGAGAGGAGAGGGGGCGGUGCGGCUAGGGUUUUAGUAUUUUCUUAAUUUUUGUUCUAAGAAUGCGAAGACUAUUAUUAAUAAAUAUAAUUGGUGUUUCUGAACAUUGGGCUAACAAUGGUUUUUAUGUGGUAUGGUCAAUUGCGAUGUUAUUAUUUCCAGAGGUGUUGGUGCAAUUUGGAUCGCUUGGGAUGUCUUUGAUUUCGUUUUUAGCUUCAAGAAUUGUUAAAUUCUAUGUGUUAAACGAUCAGGAAACAAAUCAUCUAAUUGUUUUUAUUAGUAUGUUAUUUGUUUUACCACCUGGUUGUAUUGGCAGUUGGGGGUUUGUCCCGACCGUAUUAUGUUCAAGUUAAUGAAAUUUUCUUGCAUUUGUCAAAAAAAAAAUCACUAUAUUUAUUGUGAUUUUUUUGAAACUCAACCAUAUUCUCACUUAUCAAUGCACUAAUUAAUGAUACAUGAGAAAAGAUUCUAUCUAACCAACUUUUUCUUAAUAUGCGUGUUUAUUCCAAAAUGGACCUAUAAAUUGAGACGGAGUGAGUAAAAUUUUUAUAAUCCAGGAUUUUCGCCGCAGCUAAUUAUCAACGAGAUUGACUUUAUGUAAACUGGAAUAUGCCGCCCAAAUAAAGAGGUUCACAUCUCUUAUUCUUCAAGCUUCUUUUGCAAACACCAUAAAUAUUUUUUGACAAUUGCAAACCACGACAGAGUCUUAUGUGACCAUUGACGGAUGCUCGCUCGUACGGCUCGUGGUACUCGUAUCUUAAUCAAGGACGAAGUCACCAAAUAUACGUAGAGGGGGUAAAAAAAAUAAUUCGUAAACACAUUUAAAUAUUUAAUGUAACAAAUACAUAAAAACAUUAGCAUAAAUUUUGUAAUAAAGCUCUAUGUUCCUUCAAAUCACGAAACACACUUAUAAUUGAGUCCGUACGAAAUUUUUUUACUAUUUCUCUUUCAAUUUAAAUAAGCUUACAAUGAUCGAGAAACUCAUCAUCCAUCUUGUUUUGGAGUUUUGUUUUGCUAGUAUUCAUUGAAGAAAAUGUGCGUUUUGUGAUAGCGGUCGAAACCGGCACGAUCAACACCAACUUAAUUAAUUUAUAAACAAGUGAAUAAAUAUCCAACUUCCUUGAUAGUACCAACGAUUGACACAACUCAGAAAUACCAAAUAAUUUUAUAAAUUCUGGUUUUGUAAUUUCACCCUGAAAAUGAUGUAAUUGAAUUCUUAAAACUUCUUUUUCCAUAUAUGUGAAGUCUUCUGGAUAAUAUUUAUACACUAGCUUACAUAUAUCAUCCACUUUAAAACCUUUGCACCUCUCUUGCUAACACGAGUCCACGAUAAAAUCUAUUUAUCGUUGGCAGAAGAGUAAGAAAUACUCCUUCCGUUUCAAUUUACAUGUCCACUUUCAAGAAAAUUUUUUGUUUCAGAUUACUUGUCCACUUCAACUUUCAAUGCAAAAUCAUAUUUCCAAAGUCAAUUCUACUCCACAUAUCUCUUAUUUAUAUUUCCUAGAUCAAUCUCACUCCACAUAUUUUGAUCAUUUAAUGCAAUUAAUUUGUGAACAUCCAUUUUUCUUAAACUGUGUGAUUUUUUUAAAGUGGACAUCUAAUUUGAAACGGAAGGAGUAAACUUGUUAACUAUAAAGCCUGGUCUUCAUGGAAUAAUUAAGUUGAUUGAGAUGGUUAAAGUGGAUACUUAAACAUUUACGUGGGCAUUGUUGCAAAAGUAAGAUACUCAGUGUGUUUAGGAAUACAUGUUCUGGGCAUAAAAGCUAAGAAGCUCGUUUUCUCUCUUUUGUACUCCGUUUGGCAAAAGUUUUGAAGUGCUUAUUCCAACCAAAAAAAGCUCAGGAAAAAAAAACUUGGUUUCCUAGCUUUUCUUCACACCCAGCUUCUAACUUCUUUCUAGGCCAACUCAGCAGAUCUCUCUCGCUGCAAACAAGAAGCUGGUAAUUGGCUGCAUUAUAUUCUGUUUCAUGCUAGAUUGCUAUAGUUUUUGACCAGUAAUUUUCUUAUUUUUUGUUCUUGCUAAACUAUUUCAUGUAUUAAUAAUAAAAGAUAUCUUUUUACUUGUAUUAAAUAAAUAUAAAUAUUAAAUAAAUGAUGUACCUUUUUAUUUGUAUUAUCUGCAGUUAUUAAUUUUUUCUUUUAAUGCAAAGUUUAAUAUUUUGUACUUGUAAAAUAUUUCAUGUAUUAAUAAUAAAAGAUCUUAUAUUAUAAUAACUAGCUUCUUAACCCGUGCAAAGCACGGGUUGUUUUAAAUUAUUUUUUUUAAUGUAUAUUAUAUCUUUUUUUCAUCUUUUUUAAAUUGAGAUUAUUUAUAUUACAAAAAUAAAUUAAAUUUAUUUAUAUUUUAAGUCAUAUUAUAUUGAUGUCUAUAUGUACACAUAUCCUCACUAUAAUAAUAUUUAUUAAAUUAUGAAUACAAAAAAUAUACACUAUUUAAAAUUUUAUUAUAUAAUUAAAUUACCACCCACCUAAAUUUACUCAUUAUUAUUUUUUAUUUUUUUUGCUGAGUGCGCAUUAUUGUUGUAUGGGCUUAUUGCACUUUGUAACCCCACACUUUAGCUGAUUAGCAAAUCAGACCCCAUAUUUUGAAACGUGACAGUUCGUAACCCUAAGUUUCAUUUAGCUUUCGGUUUGUAACCCUGGCCCACACAUCCGUUAAAAACAACCGUUAAAUUUAACUGUUAGGGAGGUAACAGUGUGUAUAUUAGUUUCCGACAGCUACUUUACCCCUUGUGACCUCUCAAAAUUUAUGUAUUAUAUUUUAAAAUUAUUUCUAAACACACACAACAAUAUAUAUUAAAUUACAAAUAAUAUUUAAAACAUGUAUUUGUUUUAAAAUUUUAAAAUAAGUUAUAUCGUUUAUAUAGAAAUAAAUAUAUUUUCAGGUUCUAAAUUUAAAUACGUAUUUUAAAAAUUAUGUUAAAUUGUUUUACAUCGUUGUGUGUGUUCAGAAAUAAUUUCCAAGUAUGAUACAUAAAUUUUGAGGGGUCACGUGGAGUAAAGUGGCUGUUGGAAACUAAUAUACACACUGUUAUCUCUCAAACAGUUAAAGUUGGGUCAGGGUUACAAAUCGAAAGCUAAACGAAACUUAGGGUUAUAAACUUUUAUGUUUCAAAGUGUGGGGUCUGAUUUGUUAAUCAGCCAAAGUGUGGGGUUACAAAGUGCAAUAAGCUCUUGUUGUAUUAGAUAUAUAAUAGAAUUUGGCAAAAUUCGGUUAAAAUCGAUGACUAAUUGGGCAAAAUUGGAUUAAUUGGUUGAAAAUUACAAAAUUUGUGGGGAAAGUUUAAAAUUUUAAAAAUUAUUAUAUAUAUUUAUUAUUUUUACAUAUAUAAAAUAAAAUUAAUUAUGAAUAAUUUAUGUAUCAUUCUGAUUAAUCACCGAUUUUCUGAUUUCUGCUUCUUAUAACAUUGGAUAUUUAUUUAUUUAUUAUUAAAUCAUGAAUAUAAAUAUAUUAUAUACGUAUUGGAAUUUUAAUUAUGAAGUAAUUUAAUGUAUAUUAAUGAUUAGACAUUAAUGUUUAAUUAAUACUUUAGUAUUAAAUGUCAAUAAUGACCUUCAUAUAUAUAAAUAUAUGUAUAAUAAGUAGGGGCAGAUUUGUCAUUUUGAAUUAAAUUACUCAUUGUUCUUGUAUUAGAUAUAUGGGUGAGGUUCAAAUUAGAACCCAUAUUAAGUUAGAACUUAGAACUCAUAUAAAAUCAUUAGAUUAUUGUUAAAUCAAUGGUCAUGAUCAAACACUGCAUUUAAUAUUAGU